UGCAGUCGAGCGGACAGAUGGGAGCUUGCUCCCUGAUGUUAGCGGCGGACGGGUGAGUAACACGUGGGUAACCUGCCUGUAAGACUGGGAUAACUCCGGGAAACCGGGGCUAAUACCGGAUGGUUGUUUGAACCGCAUGGUUCAAACAUAAA
Molecule: ribosomal RNA, 152 nt
Filed under: Bacillus sp. (in: firmicutes)
Lineage: Bacteria; Bacillati; Bacillota; Bacilli; Caryophanales; Bacillaceae
Description: Bacillus sp. (in: Bacteria) partial 16S ribosomal RNA
Rfam family: Bacterial small subunit ribosomal RNA
Source: RNAcentral